UACGUAGGGGGCGAGCGUUAUCCGGAAUUACUGGGCGUAAAGGGUGCGUAGGCGGCUUUCUAAGUCAGAUGUGAAAGAGUACGGCUUAACCGUAUUAAGCAUUUGAAACUAGAGAGCUUGAGUGCAGGAGAGGAGAGUGGAAUUCCUAGUGUAGCGGUGAAAUGCGUAGAUAUUAGGAGGAACACCAGUGGCGAAGGCGACUCUCUGGACUGUAACUGACGCUGAGGCACGAAAGCGUGGGGAGCAAACAGG
This 252-nucleotide ribosomal RNA is filed under the name uncultured bacterium. Its description in RNAcentral is "partial 16S ribosomal RNA". It matches the Rfam family "Bacterial small subunit ribosomal RNA", at positions 524 to 776 of the family's 1533-position model. The record is from RNAcentral.